UACGUAGGUGGCAAGCGUUGUCCGGAAUCAUUGGGCGUAAAGGGCGUGUAGGUGGGAACACCAGUCCAUCUUAAAAGUGCGGGGCUCAACCCCGUGAUGGGAUGGAAACUGUGUUUCUUGAGUGCCGGAGAGGAAAGCGGAAUUCCCAGUGUAGCAGUGAAAUGCGUAGAUAUUGGGAGGAACACCAGUGGCGAAGGCGGCUUUCUGGACGGUGUCUGACACUGAGGCGCGAAAGCCAGGGGAGCGAACG
This 250-nucleotide ribosomal RNA is filed under the name uncultured bacterium. Its description in RNAcentral is "partial 16S ribosomal RNA". It matches the Rfam family "Bacterial small subunit ribosomal RNA", at positions 524 to 774 of the family's 1533-position model. The record is from RNAcentral.